UGGGGAUGACGUCAAAUCAGCACGGCCCUUACGUCCAGGGCUACACACGUGUUACAAUGGCCAGUACAGAGGGCGAGCCACCCCGCGAGGGGGCGCUAAUCCUAAAAGCUGGUCCCAGUUCGGAUCGGAGUCUGCAACCCGACUCCGUGAAGCUGGAUUCGCUAGUAAUCGCGCAUCAGCCACGGCGCGGUGAAUACGUUCCCGGGCCUU
This 210-nucleotide ribosomal RNA is filed under the name uncultured Rikenellaceae bacterium. Its description in RNAcentral is "partial 16S ribosomal RNA". It matches the Rfam family "Bacterial small subunit ribosomal RNA", at positions 1174 to 1382 of the family's 1533-position model. The record is from RNAcentral. Lineage: Bacteria; Pseudomonadati; Bacteroidota; Bacteroidia; Bacteroidales; Rikenellaceae.